UUAACAAAAUGUAGCUUAGCAAAGCACCUCGCUUACACCGAGUAGACAUCCGUGAAAUUCGGAUCAUUUUGAGCCCUAAACCAAGCCUAAACUUUUAACCUUGUAACCCCACCCUCACUCCACCACCCCCAAAAACAUUUUUCCUUUCUAGUAGAGGCGAUCAAAAAAUUUCUUAGAGCUUCACAUUCAGUACCGCAAGGGAAUGGUGAAAUAGAUCUGAAAUAGCCUUAAAGCAUAAAAAAGCAGAGACCUCUCUCGUACCUUUCGCAUCAUGGUUUAGCCAGCCCUAAUCAAGCAAAGAGUAACAUCAGUUUGACAUCCCGAAACUGAGCGAGCUACUUCGAAACAGCUGUUAGAGCCAACCCGUCUCUGUUGCAAAAGAGUGGGACGAUUUCCAAGUAGAGGUGAUAAGCCUAUCGAGCUCAGAGAUAGCUGGUUAUUCAGGAAAAGAAUCUUAGUUCUCCCUUAAGUUUUUUAAUUAUUAUUAAAAGCCUUUUAAACUUAAGAGCUAUUCAAAUAAGGCACAGCUUAUUUGAAACAGGGCACAACCUAGAAUUAAGGGUAAGUAACAUCACUACCUUCAAAGUAGGCCUGAAAGCAGCCAUCUUUAAAAAAGCGUUAAAGCUUAAUCUCCCAUCAAACCCCAAAUACCAUUCCCUGCUGCGAACCCUUCACCCGUACUGAAUGACCCUAUACUUUUAUAGGAGACAUAAUGCUAAAACUAGUAACAAGAAGUAGACCUUCUCCACAAUGUAAACAUAAGCCAAACCGGACCAACCAUUGGCCACUAACGUAUAUGAAUCUCCUAUAGUAACGCUCUCUCAAGAAAAACCUAUUCACCCUCAACGUUAACCUAACACAAGUACAUUUCUGGAAAGAUUAAAAGAAAAAGAAGGAACUCGGCAAAUCUAGACCCCGCCUGUUUACCAAAAACAUCGCCUCUUGUCACCCAUAAGAGGUCCAGCCUGCCCAGUGAUACAAUUAAACGGCCGCGGUACUCUGACCGUGCGAAGGUAGCAUAAUCACUUGUUCUUUAAUUAAGGACUAGCAUGAACGGCAUCACGAGGGCCUUACUGUCUCCUUUCUCCAAUCAGAGAAACUGAUCUCCCCGUGAAGAAGCGGGGAUUAUACUAUAAGACGAGAAGACUCCAUGGAGCUUUAAACCCAACAGACAACCCUUAGCCCCUCACCCCCCAAAACUUUUAGGCCCUGUCUGCUGGUUUUAGGUUGGGGUGACCGCGGAGUAAAACUUAUCCUCCACAAUGUAUGGGACUCCUCCCCUUAUCCACGAGCCACUGCUCUAAGAAUCAACAAAUUGACAACAAAUGAUCCAAUUUUCUGAUCAAUGAACCAAGUUACCCUGGGGAUAACAGCGCAAUCCAUUUUAAGAGCCCUUAUCGACAAAUGGGUUUACGACCUCGAUGUUGGAUCAGGGUACCCAAGUGGUGCAGCCGCUACUAACGGU
RNAcentral lists this ribosomal RNA (1465 nucleotides) under Fejervarya cancrivora (crab-eating frog). Its description in RNAcentral is "partial 16S ribosomal RNA". It matches the Rfam family "Bacterial large subunit ribosomal RNA", at positions 371 to 2572 of the family's 2925-position model. Lineage: Eukaryota; Metazoa; Chordata; Amphibia; Anura; Dicroglossidae. The record is from RNAcentral.